CCUGACUGCUAUCGGAUUGAUACUAAGCCAUGCGAGUCAUUGUAGUAAUACAAGGCAGACGGCUCAGUAACGCGUAGUCAACCUACCUUAUGGACGGGGAUAACCUCGGGAAACUGAGAAUAAUACCAGAUAGAACAUUAUGCCUGGAAUGGUUUAUGUUUCAAAUAAUUUAUUGCCGUAAGAUGGGACUGCGGCCUAUCAGUUUGUUGGUGAGGUAAUGGCCCACCAAGACUAUUACAGGUACGGGCUCUGAGAGGAGUAGCCCGGAGAUGGGUACUGAGACACGGACCCAGGCCCUAUGGGGCGCAGCAGGCGAGAAAACUUUGCAAUGUGCGAAAGCACGACAAGGUUAAUCCGAGUGGUUUCUGCUAAAGGAACCUUUUGUCAGUCCUAGAAACACUGGCGAAUAAGGGGUGGGCAAGUUCUGGUGUCAGCCGCCGCGGUAAAACCAGCACCUCAAGUGGUCAGGAUGAUUAUUGGGCCUAAAGCAUCCGUAGCCUGCUUUGUUAGUUUUCGGUUAAAUCCAUAUGCUCAACGUAUGGGCUGCCGGGAAUACUGCAAAGCUAGGGAGUGGGAGAGGUAGACGGUACUCGGUAGGAAGGGGUAAAAUCCUUUGAUCUAUUGAUGACCACCUGUGGCGAAGGCGGUCUACCAGAACACGUCCGACGGUGAGGGAUGAAAGCUGGGGGAGCAAACCGGAUCAGAUACCCGGGUAGUCCCAGCUGUAAACUAUGCAAACUCGGUGAUGCAUUGGCUUGAUGCCAAUGCAGUGCCGCAGGGAAGCCGUUAAGUUUGCCGCCUGGGAAGUACGUACGCAAGUAUGAAACUUAAAGGAAUUGGCGGGGGAGCACCACAAGGGGUGAAGCCUGCGGUUC
Molecule: ribosomal RNA, 875 nt
Filed under: uncultured marine group I thaumarchaeote
Lineage: Archaea; Thermoproteati; Nitrososphaerota
Description: bacterial SSU rRNA
Rfam family: Archaeal small subunit ribosomal RNA
Source: RNAcentral